This 465-nucleotide ribosomal RNA is filed under the name uncultured Klebsiella sp. Its description in RNAcentral is "bacterial SSU rRNA". It matches the Rfam family "Bacterial small subunit ribosomal RNA", at positions 338 to 795 of the family's 1533-position model. Lineage: Bacteria; Pseudomonadati; Pseudomonadota; Gammaproteobacteria; Enterobacterales; Enterobacteriaceae. The record is from RNAcentral.
CCUACGGGAGGCUGCAGUGGGGAAUAUUGCACAAUGGGCGCAAGCCUGAUGCAGCCAUGCCGCGUGUGUGAAGAAGGCCUUCGGGUCGUAAAGCACUUUCAGCGGGGAGGAAGGCGGUGAGGUUAAUAACCUCAUCGAUUGACGUUACCCGCAGAAGAAGCACCGGCUAACUCCGUGCCAGCAGCCGCGGUAAUACGGAGGGUGCAAGCGUUAAUCGGAAUUACUGGGCGUAAAGCGCACGCAGGCGGUCUGUCAAGUCGGAUGUGAAAUCCCCGGGCUCAACCUGGGAACUGCAUUCGAAACUGGCAGGCUAGAGUCUUGUAGAGGGGGGUAGAAUUCCAGGUGUAGCGGUGAAAUGCGUAGAGAUCUGGAGGAAUACCGGUGGCGAAGGCGGCCCCCUGGACAAAGACUGACGCUCAGGUGCGAAAGCGUGGGGAGCAAACAGGAUUAGAUACCCCGGUAGUC